Small nuclear RNA from Cercocebus atys (sooty mangabey), 107 nucleotides. The record is from Ensembl. Lineage: Eukaryota; Metazoa; Chordata; Mammalia; Primates; Cercopithecidae.
GUGCUUGCUUCGGCAGCACAUAUACUAACAUUGAAAUAACGUAGACAAGAUUAGCAUGGCCUUUGUGCAAGGAUGACAAAAGAAUUCAUGAAGCAUUCCAUUUGUAA